This is a long non-coding RNA of Sarcophilus harrisii (Tasmanian devil), 381 nucleotides long. RefSeq lists it as uncharacterized. The record is from RefSeq and is a predicted model, not a curated record. NCBI's taxonomy places the organism in Eukaryota, Metazoa, Chordata, Mammalia, Dasyuromorphia, Dasyuridae. The transcript has 4 exons.
CUCAGGAGAACGGGAUGAAAUCCAGUCUCACAUUAAUCCAGAAAUGAUCAGGAGAAGCCUCCAAGUCGCUGACAGCCACUGAUCUCUCAGUGGAUCCCCUGAUCUCAUUCUACAGUUGAGCAGCAAGUGUCAGUAAGAAUCAAUGCCUUCUAUCUUAUUCACCAGUUGCAGCCCAAGUUGUCAGUAAAGACCAAGAUCUCCUAUCUCCAUCAGUUGAGCACCAAGUGUCAAUAAGGAUCAAUAUCCUUUCUAAGUAUGGGUCACAUCCCUGUCAUCCUGUUCUCUUUGGCUUCAUUUACCUUUGAAAAUCUAAACUUGUCCUGGGAAUUUUCAUCAAUGUUUUUACCAGUGGUGUUCUCCCUCACUUGUGACCAGAAUGCA